RNAcentral lists this unclassified non-coding RNA (251 nucleotides) under Hevea brasiliensis (rubber tree). Lineage: Eukaryota; Viridiplantae; Streptophyta; Magnoliopsida; Malpighiales; Euphorbiaceae. The record is from RNAcentral.
GGAAGACAUUGAGGAAUUGAAGAAGAAGGUUGCAGGAAGUGAAUAAAUGCAUGUAGUUUGACGUCAAAUUCAUGGUGAACGAAUUCCAGCACCAAUGCAAAUGAACUGUAAGUUUCUUGUACAAGAGGCAAAUGUUCAUGUGAAGUAAGAGUAGGUUUUGAUGUAUUUUUAUUUAUCUUAGCACAUCUUCAAAAGAAAAUUCUAUGUUUCACUUUCAUUUGAUAGUGUUAUAACUCAUAGUCUGUUUCUGC